Molecule: ribosomal RNA, 497 nt
Filed under: uncultured bacterium
Lineage: Bacteria
Description: partial 16S ribosomal RNA
Rfam family: Bacterial small subunit ribosomal RNA
Source: RNAcentral
GAUGAACGCUGGCGGCGUGCCUAAUACAUGCAAGUCGAGCGAACGGACGAGUAGCUUGCUUCUCACAUGAUAGCCGCGCACGGGUGAGUCACAUGUGGAUACCCUCCCUCAAAUACUGGGAUAACUUCGAGAAACCGGAGCUAAUCCCGGAGAAUAUCUUGAACCGCGUUGUGCAAGAGUGAAAGACGGUGUUGCUUUCACUUAUAGACUGAUCCCCGCUGCAUUAGCUAGUUGGUGAGCUAACGGCCUACCAAGACAACGAUGCAUAGCCGACCUGAGAGGGUGGUCGGCGACACGGGAGCUGAGACAGGGUCCAUGCGCCUACGGGAGGGAGCAGUAGGGAAUGGUCCGCAAUGGGCGAGAGCCUGACGGAGCAGGGGCGCGUGAGAGGUGAAGGUCCUCGGAUCGUGAUACUCUGUUAUGAGGGAAGAACAUAUGUGUAAGUAACUGUGCAGAUCUUGACGGUACCUAGUCAGAAAGCCACGGCUAACUACGUG